This is a long non-coding RNA of Sardina pilchardus (European sardine), 492 nucleotides long. RefSeq lists it as uncharacterized. The record is from RefSeq and is a predicted model, not a curated record. NCBI's taxonomy places the organism in Eukaryota, Metazoa, Chordata, Actinopteri, Clupeiformes, Clupeidae. The transcript has 4 exons.
UCUUUCUGAGAUGAAUCUGCUUCUCUGCUUUUCUGCACUGUCUCCAGGCAUCAGAAGAAAAGAUGAAAGUAGCCAUCAUAGCUGUGUGCCUCCUUGGCCUCCUUUGCCUCUCCUUUGCAGCUCCUCAUGGUGUCGAGCUUGCCCGAGAUGAGCUUGCCCGAGAGAAGCGCUCAUCCACUGGAGAGGACCAGAACCAGUGGCAUUUUCUCCCGGAAGUCAAGGAAAGCGAGGCUUCCCCCAUCUUGCCCCACAAACAAUAUAAUUGUAAAUAAAACAUUUGAUUUAAUCGUUUUACAGUUACAUUUAUUCUUGCUGUGCUGUUAUCUGCCGUUUUCAUUUCAUAUUUUGCAAUGAGUGACACAGAGCCUCCAUAAUUUGUAUUUAGUGAAUGUGGUGAAACUCAGUAAUUACACUCCCGUUGUCUCCAAGUGGCACUCAGCCCGAGUUGGAACAACCUCUCACCCAACAGCAGGGCUAACUCUGAAUUUCUAU